AGGGAGACUGGAAACAACAGAGGAGGUGUCACAAGGCUUGCUCGUGCUCUCCCAUCCUUCCUGUCCUCUGGCUCGUGCGGUGGGGGAGAUCUUCGUGGGCUAUAUGCCUUGUUAAGGGGUGAGAACCUGAGCCGUAGGAUCAUGCCUCAGGACUACCUGGCCUGAUGACUUCUGGCUGUCCCUGUCCCCAGUGCACCUGGAUGUGCCGCUGAUCCAGUUUCUGCUGUUCUGCCUGUGGGUCCCGGCAUCCAUUCAUGACCAGGAGAUCAGUCUGGCACCCAACUGUGCAAUUUGUCUAACAGAAAAACAGGGUCAACGAUUGUCAUCAUCCCUCAAUUAUAAACGUAAUCUUGUUUGGAAGCUAAUUCUAUGCUUUACUAUGCUUUAAUUUAAUGUGCUUGUUUGUUUUGCUGUUGAUGCCCUUUGAGAUUAUU
Coregonus clupeaformis (lake whitefish) is the source of this 434-nucleotide long non-coding RNA. RefSeq lists it as uncharacterized. NCBI's taxonomy places the organism in Eukaryota, Metazoa, Chordata, Actinopteri, Salmoniformes, Salmonidae. The transcript is spliced from 3 exons. The record is from RefSeq and is a predicted model, not a curated record.